RNAcentral lists this ribosomal RNA (468 nucleotides) under uncultured bacterium. RNAcentral describes it as "partial 16S ribosomal RNA". It matches the Rfam family "Bacterial small subunit ribosomal RNA", at positions 28 to 507 of the family's 1533-position model. The record is from RNAcentral.
GACGAACGCUGGCGGCGUGCUUAACACAUGCAAGUCGAACGGAAAGGCCCUGCUUUUGUGGGGUGCUCGAGUGGCGAACGGGUGAGUAACACGUGAGUAACCUGCCCUUGACUUUGGGAUAACUUCAGGAAACUGGGGCUAAUACCGGAUAGGAGCUCCUGCUGCAUGGUGGGGGUUGGAAAGUUUCGGCGGUUGGGGAUGGACUCGCGGCUUAUCAGCUUGUUGGUGGGGUAGUGGCUUACCAAGGCUUUGACGGGUAGCCGGCCUGAGAGGGUGACCGGCCACAUUGGGACUGAGGUACGGACCAGUCUCCUACGGGAGGCAGCAGUGGGGAAUAUGGCACAAUGGGCGGAAGUGUGAUACAGCAACGCCGGGUGCGGGAUGACGGCCUUCGGGUUGUAAACCGCUUUCGCCUGUGACGAAGCGUGAGUGACGGUAAUGGGUAAAGAAGCACCGGCUAACUACGUG